RNAcentral lists this ribosomal RNA (236 nucleotides) under uncultured bacterium. Its description in RNAcentral is "partial 16S ribosomal RNA". It matches the Rfam family "Bacterial small subunit ribosomal RNA", at positions 118 to 347 of the family's 1533-position model. The record is from RNAcentral.
UGAGUAACCUGCCCCUGACUCUGGGAUAAGCCUGGGAAACUGGGUCUAAUACCGGAUAUGCACCGUGGACCGUAUGGUUCUUGGUGGAAAAGAUUUUUUUGGUCAGGGAUGGACUCGCGGCCUAUCAGCUUGUUGGUGAGGUAAUGGCUCACCAAGGCGACGACGGGUAGCCGGCCUGAGGAGGGCGAUCGGCCACACGUGGGACUGAGACACGGCCCAGACUCCGACGGGAGCAG